UGAGUAGGACAAAUGUUCGCGGCUUGCCGGAGUCUACGGAUUCCCGGUGAGGUGAGGAAAGUCCGGGCUUCACAGGGCAGGAUGCCGGAUAACGUCCGGUGGAGGCGACUCCAAGGCUAGUGCAACAGAAAUAUACCGCCAGCUUCUGCUGGUAAGGGUGGAAGGGUGGCUUAAGAGACCACCGCCCGCAAGGUAACUUACGGGGCAUAUGUAAACCCCAUCCGAAGCAAGACCAAAACGAAACAUAUGGCGGCCCGUCAGUUUCAGGUAGGUCGCUCGAGCCUGCUGGUAACAGCAGGACUAGAUAGAUGAACAUUCAACGACAUAACCCGGCUUAUCGUCCUGCUCAUUUU
RNAcentral lists this RNase P RNA (353 nucleotides) under Lachnospiraceae bacterium. RNAcentral describes it as "RNase P RNA component class A". It matches the Rfam family "Bacterial RNase P class A". Rfam says of the family: Ribonuclease P (RNase P) is a ubiquitous endoribonuclease, found in archaea, bacteria and eukarya as well as chloroplasts and mitochondria. Its best characterised activity is the generation of mature 5'-ends of tRNAs by cleaving the 5'-leader elements of precursor-tRNAs. Cellular RNase Ps are ribonucleoproteins. Lineage: Bacteria; Bacillati; Bacillota; Clostridia; Lachnospirales; Lachnospiraceae. The record is from RNAcentral.